CACCCCCCAAAGCUUCCCCCCUCCAAUUCUCUCUUCCCGCUGCUGAUUCCCUCUCUUCUUCAACACCUAUCAACAAUCACAAAUACCCGUUAUCACUAUCGUCUUCUAAUUCUGAUGUUACGGCCGUCGUUUGCCCCUCACUUGCAAAUGCAAACACCCUUUACUUCAGGUCGGGAUACAAUGUUCAGGUAAUUGUGGAUGAUAAUGAGCACGAAGAGAAGCUUGUCGGACGGUUUCGUAGGGAGGUUAUGAGAGCUGGAGUCAUACAGGAAUGCAAGCGUAGGAGAUAUUUCGAGAACAAGCACG
RNAcentral lists this long non-coding RNA (306 nucleotides) under Nicotiana tabacum (common tobacco). RNAcentral's name for it is "long non-coding RNA (NTAB_LNC002623)". Lineage: Eukaryota; Viridiplantae; Streptophyta; Magnoliopsida; Solanales; Solanaceae. The record is from RNAcentral.